Lutra lutra (Eurasian river otter) is the source of this 327-nucleotide long non-coding RNA. RefSeq lists it as uncharacterized. NCBI's taxonomy places the organism in Eukaryota, Metazoa, Chordata, Mammalia, Carnivora, Mustelidae. The transcript is spliced from 3 exons. The record is from RefSeq and is a predicted model, not a curated record.
GUGGCCUCCGCCUGGAGUGUGCGGAUAGUGAGGGCCUGCCGCGGAGGUGACCAGCGUGGUCAGCAGCGAGAAGAUGGAUAGUCUCGCAUUUUUACCUUUAAGCCCGUGAUGCAUUUUUAGUUCAUUUGUGCAUGAGAUGGAGGUUUGGUGUGAGUCCGUCUGUGUCUGCUUUGGACUGCUGAUUGUGGCGAUGUCAUGUCCUGAAAAGCGUGUCACUCUUCCGUGGAACUGCUUUGCUCGGUUGUCAGAGAGCAUGCAGGACAUUGGUACAAUCUUCUCCAUUUUACAGACAAAGAGCUCUUCGGCUGAGAAAUCUGUAUAACUGGC